CCUUCACAAAGCCAUAGUUCUACAGCCCCCUCUCCGGUUCCUCAUACACUGGCUGAGCUCUCUGACGCUGUUAGAAAAGCACCUCCAAACUCUCUCUGUGUGUCUUAACAGGCACCUGACCCCAGCUCUGGAUGGGAACAGCAGAAACAGCAUAAACAGCAUGAGCACCUUACUUCACACUUGAUUCUGGCUCAAGUCAACACACAGCUGGCUGUGCUCUUGGUCUCAAAAGUCAUAAAUCAUUGUUGGAAGUCAUGUCUGUGCAGUUAUAAGUAAAUGAUAGAGUGGAAAUGCCCUGUGGAGAUUACGUAUUGGAGGAGGAUUGAGUCAUGGUACAUCUUCUGUUACUGGCAGACGGAUGAUAUGGAAG
Molecule: long non-coding RNA, 370 nt
Filed under: Heterocephalus glaber (naked mole-rat)
Lineage: Eukaryota; Metazoa; Chordata; Mammalia; Rodentia; Bathyergidae
Description: lncRNA (ENSHGLG00000032442.1)
Source: RNAcentral